Molecule: ribosomal RNA, 660 nt
Filed under: Alcanivorax profundi
Lineage: Bacteria; Pseudomonadati; Pseudomonadota; Gammaproteobacteria; Oceanospirillales; Alcanivoracaceae
Description: bacterial SSU rRNA
Rfam family: Bacterial small subunit ribosomal RNA
Source: RNAcentral
AUCUGAAAGAGAUUAAAGAUUUAUCGGUGAUGGAUGGGGAUGCGUCUGAUUAGCUUGUUGGCGGGGUAACGGCCCACCAAGGCGACGAUCAGUAGGGGUUCUGAGAGGAAGGUCCCCCACAUUGGAACUGAGACACGGUCCAAACUCCUACGGGAGGCAGCAGUGAGGAAUAUUGGUCAAUGGACGAGAGUCUGAACCAGCCAAGUAGCGUGCAGGAAGACGGCCCUAUGGGUUGUAAACUGCUUUUAUAAGGGAAUAAAGUGAGUCUCGUGAGACUUUUUGCAUGUACCUUAUGAAUAAGGACCGGCUAAUUCCGUGCCAGCAGCCGCGGUAAUACGGAAGGUCCGGGCGUUAUCCGGAUUUAUUGGGUUUAAAGGGAGCGUAGGCCGGAGAUUAAGCGUGUUGUGAAAUGUAGACGCUCAACGUCUGCACUGCAGCGCGAACUGGUUUCCUUGAGUACGCACAAAGUGGGCGGAAUUCGUGGUGUAGCGGUGAAAUGCUUAGAUAUCACGAAGAACUCCGAUUGCGAAGGCAGCUCACUGGAGCGCAACUGACGCUGAAGCUCGAAAGUGCGGGUAUCGAACAGGAUUAGAUACCCUGGUAGUCCGCACGGUAAACGAUGGAUGCCCGCUGUUGGCCUGAAUAGGUCAGCGGCCAAGC